GAAAAAUUAAACAAUUAAAUAAAAGCAAAAUAUAUUCCCUAAAUAAUACAAUUUUCAAAAUAUAAACACUAAAUAAUUAAUUUAAAUAAAAUAUAUGAACUAAAUUUUUUUUUUUCCCCUCCUUUGAGUUGCCUUUAAAAAAUAUGGCAUACAUAGCCACCAAAUAACGAAUCGAGUAGGAAGGAGAACAUAUUCAUUUGAAGGCGAGCUCAAAUUCAUGAAGCCUUGAUAAAUUUUUCCAAAUAGGCAAACAAACCAGAAUCACUCAUGCAUCAACAUAACGGUAGUAGAGGCGCCACAUGGUCACUGGCAUCCACCUAAUUUAUACUUCAUUCCUAAUCCUGGUAAGGGAAACUGGAAUAUGAUAGUUUCAACAUAUGAAGAAAGCAAAACCUGUAGUUAUAGGAAACCAGUGCAUUUAGAAUGAAAAUUUACGUCGGUUUGGUGAAACAAAAGGAUCAUAAUAAAUAGAUGUACAAGUUCCGCAGUCAGCUCAAACAGACCAUUUUCUCAAAACAUAAACUGUUGGGACAUUUUUGCUAAAAAGCUUUAUGCACUUAUAACCUCAAUUCUGAGCUUCCUUGAGCAUUUUAUUUCUGGGAUUGAUCAAAACUUCAAUGCACCAAUUUGGCUCAUGAGGUUGUAAGUUGUAGUUAAGCAAUUGCACCCUUCAAACCUCGUGAAUACCCCACCUAUGAAAAUGAAGUUAAAAGUUACAAAUCGACAUAAAUUUUCAUUAAUAAUAAACGCACAUGCUCAAAAUCAUAUCAACUGUAAAAUGCACAAUCCCACAAAUAAAUCUGCAUCAAAUUUUAUAUCAAGCAAACAUAAAGAGAACAAUGGAAUAUUAAGUCUGGAAUACACAUUAGUUAAUGCCUCUUUUAAGUCGGCUUUUUAGAACAUCUGAAUUUCUAAAUUACUAAAAUAAAACAUUGAAAAAAGCAAAAUGUAACAUGCAAACCUAGCUUCAUAUUUUCCCCCUUCGGCUCCAAUAAGGCAACGACUGAGCUGGGAAUAGCCUCCUCUCUCAAAUCCCCAUCUAGCCAUUCCCAGUAUAACCACAACCCAAAUCCUAAUAGUUAAGUCUCAAAGCCAAAAUCUUCACCAGCGAUGCUAGUUAGGACUCGUACAAAUCAGGACUUAGCUGCCCCACCUUAUGCACUUCAGCCAAUGGAAAACAGGCCAAGAUGAAAAUAUAGACUGCCACCUAUUUCAGAUGCAUGUGAAUAUGUAAUAAGGGACCAGACCAGCAAAAGAAGUAUGCCCUUAGAGUACCAAUAUAAACAGUUUGGGAAAAGGAAACUUGAGUUUAAGCAUCUCUAUAAGCUAUCAGUAACACAUUAGAUCAGACAAUGAUUUAACUGGCUAGUCUUCUACUCAUGCAUCAACCCAUUAGAUAAUUCAAAAUGGAUGAAAUAUUGAGAGUCAAUCUAUUAAGACUUAAGAGUAUAACUUGUUGCCUACCCAAUGCAUAACUCUUAUCCAAUAAUGAGGAAUGUCAAGCCUAAAAGAAUUUAAACCUUUAGUUACUCAUUAUGCAUAAAUGAGCAUAUGCUUAGGAUAGGAGGAGACCAAUGGGUGCUUUUGCAGUAUCCAUUGCCAACUAAGGUGCUCUGCAGAAGAAAGAACAAUCGGAAUAUGAUCAUUUUAAUUGCUUUCCUAGAAUAGCAAAAUCUGUUAGUCAUUACAAAUUUUUGUGGAUAUACAUGGUGACCAUCAGAUGCAAAUUGAGAAACGAAUUAAACAAUUAGAUAGCAUGUUUAGGUCUUCAUUAAACCCAAAAAUAAAUAAAUAAAAUAACCAGGAAAAGUAUAAAAUUAGAAAAAAAAAAGAUUGAGAUUAAUAAAUAAUUCAAAGGGAUGCAUUCAGGUUUAUUUGAAAAUUCUUUACCCAACUUGUGCAAUGUCAACCUAACUGCUCAAAGAAAUCUCACCAUUAGGUACACUUCUCAUUUCUUGGUUUUAUCAAGAACCUCAAUAUAUCUCUUUGGAACCCCAUACUGUUCAACCAGAUGCCGUGCUACAUCAUCAAUCACACCACCUUGAAUGAGAACCUCAUGCCCUUUCUUGCCUGGUAGCUCUUGCACUGACGUACUGCAAGCAAAUUUUUUCUGCAGCUCUGACGCCAAUGCUUCAGCAUCCAUCAAGAAUGUUUCUACACCUGAGACUUUUGUCACCUUCUUGUUACCUUGACGCCUUUCUGUUACAAUUUGAAUUGUCUUUAAUGAACCUUUACGAACAACAGACUCACUUCCCCUGGUCACAACGUAAUGGGCUUGCAUCCGGCUUACAAAUGUCAAUCCUAGAUCUUUCUUAUGAAUCUCGGUAGGGUAUGUUGAUCCUUUCUUAAUUGUUCCCUUGAACAAAGCAUCACAUAGUGUUGGAUCUAAAACUACGAAGGCCUUAUUUGUUGGCUUGACUAGAUUUUCUUUCUCAAUAUACUUGCAUACUAUAUCAGAAGCUUCUGAAGCACUGUAAAGUUUCCCUGUAUCAGCACCAACAGAAGCAAAAAUGGGAUUGACAUGCACACUUGGUUUGUAGAUCUCCACCACUUCAAGCAUUUUUUUUAGCCGACUUUCACUGGUAGUAGCUUGGUCAGCAGCCUGAUCAAUUUUUUGUUCCUGCCUCUUCUCUGGCUUGAAGGAUAAGAAAUCUGGGUGACUGCGGUUAACGGAAACUAAUACAGUCUCCUUUUUAUAUUUGUCUUCCUUUACUGAAAUCAAUGCUGCAGAUGAUUUAGAUUGUAACCACUUUGACAAUUUCUUGUGGGAUGACUUCUUGAUAUCUAGCAUGAUGCCAGAUGGCCUACAAGGUAAAACAUGAUUGGACCAUAAAGUGCUACCAGGCAUUGGAAGAUCUUUGUCCUUAACAGUUGUAUGCAGGGCUUGCAACAGGCAUUUAUCCAAAUAAGCAUCCACGUCUGCAGUUGACAAUGUGUACUGCUCCUCAGUAGCUGAUUCAUCAGCUGCAACAUUAUCUGUUACAUUCAAAUUACUUGCAUCUGCAGUGACUUGUUCUACAAUAUCAUUUUUACAAUCAAGUUCCGCAAUUAGAGAGGGAUAAGGUUCUGAUAUAACAUCAUUCAUAUCAGCAGAUUCCCCAAUUUCUUUGCUCUCAACCUCAUUCUGCUGCUCAUAUGAAGCAUCACUAGUAGCUUGACACUCAUCAGAACUAUGAACUGAUGAUGUGGAAGCAGGAUCCUCAAAGACAGCAUCUUCCAAGAAACCUGCAUUUGGCACAUAAUGGCCCUCAACUGACUCCCAAAGUAAGUCCCGGUAAUAAUGAGUUAUCCUUAAGGCCUUUCCACGAAAUCCAGCUUUUACGGCGUCAGUGCUGCUCAUAGUAGUAGAUCCAACUGCAAUUGGUGCUGGAUUGCCAGGUACUUUUACUGCCCAUGGUUCCCCAGAUGAAAAAGAAGGUAGGCCUUCAGCAGGUAUAUUUAUACCAGGGAACAUCAAAUCUGCCCCUCCAAUGACAAACCUAGAGACCUCACCGCCUUUAAGCAUAAAAGAAGGCAACAAUUCAGGGACCUUCCAGAGAGCAAAUACUGUGGGAAAAAUUUCAUUGCCUCGCCCAUCUACAUCGAAAAACAUAGGAAAGCCACCUUCAACACCAAAUACAUGGACACGAUUUUGAAACUUUGAAACAGUUAUCUCAGCCUAAAACACAAAUAUCGUAUAAAAAAGCAUCAGUUUAUAAAAUAACAGACACGAAAAUAACUUAUAGUAAAAAUUAACAACUGAAAUUUUCUAUUAUCAAACUAGGAGCUAGACCCCUUUUCUGUACAACCUUGACCAACUUGCCGGACAAACAAAAACCUUCAAGCACUCUCACUUAGAAGGUAAAUACAUUAAACAAAAAUUAAAAGGAAAGCCUGCUUCACAUAAGAACACAGAGAAUGCAUAAAUUUAUAACCUUUUCAGGAACAUCGAAUAUUCAAAUCAAAUUAAGCAAUAAAAAUUCUUCAAAACUGACAAAACCACGUAUAACAAGUAACAAUAAUAACAACAAUAAAUGGGUUUCAAAUAUGAAUGAAAAUAAAAAACCAAACAAUAAAAUUAAGAAUAAAUGAAUCCAUUACCAUUGCUCCACAUCCAAAAUAACAAAAAAAAAAUAUUUACUUUGGGAGGGAGUAAAUUAUCCAUAUCGGCGUCAGAAGCGCGAGGAAAUCUAUCUUUAACGGUUCGUUUAAGCUUCUUUCUGUCAGCUCCGGAUAGUCUCUGAUGCGAUUUUGCCUCUACUGCCUUCUUAAACAUCUUUUCCCUUCCUUUUUCUUACGAAACAAAUCAAAAUUCUUCUGUGUUUCCUCGAAUCAAAUAAGAAAGAAGAAGAUGUGCUUUAUGAGAGUGAAAUGAGUGAGCUAAGGAAGUACUCGUUUGGCUUCUCGCAAAGGAAGGUUCACG
Molecule: unclassified non-coding RNA, 4402 nt
Filed under: Hevea brasiliensis (rubber tree)
Lineage: Eukaryota; Viridiplantae; Streptophyta; Magnoliopsida; Malpighiales; Euphorbiaceae
Source: RNAcentral